GACGAACGCUGGCGGCGUGCUUAACACAUGCCAGUCGAACGGAAAGGCCCUGCUUUUGUGGGGUGCUCGAGUGGCGAACGGGUGAGUAACACGUGAGUAACCUGCCCUUGACUUUGGGAUAACUUCAGGAAACUGGGGCUAAUACCGGAUAGGAGCUCCUGCUGCAUGGUGGGGGUUGGAAAGUUUCGGCGGUUGGGGAUGGACUCGCGGCUUAUCAGCUUGUUGGUGGGGUAGUGGCUUACCAAGGCUUUGACGGGUAGCCGGCCUGAGAGGGUGACCGGCCACAUUGGGACUGAGAUACGGACCAGACUCCAACGGGAGGCAGCAGUGGGGAAUAUUGCACAAUGGGCGGAAGCCUGAUGCAGCAACGCCGCGUGCGGGAUGACGGCCUUCGGGUUGUAAACCGCUUUCGCCUGUGACGAAGCGUGAGUGACGGUAAUGGGUAAAGAUGCACCGGCUAACUACGUG
RNAcentral lists this ribosomal RNA (468 nucleotides) under uncultured bacterium. RNAcentral's name for it is "partial 16S ribosomal RNA". It matches the Rfam family "Bacterial small subunit ribosomal RNA", at positions 28 to 507 of the family's 1533-position model. The record is from RNAcentral.